GAUGAACGCUAGCGGCAGGCUUAACACAUGCAAGUCGAGGGGCAGCACGGUGUAGCAAUACAUUGGUGGCGAUCGGCGCACGGGUGCGUAACGCGUAUACAAUUUGCCUUAUACUGGGAGAUAGCCCGGAGAAAUUCGGAUUAAUAUCCCAUAAUAAUUUUGGUCCGUAUGGAUUGAUUUUUAAAGCUACGGCGGUAUAAGAUGAGUAUGCGUCUGAUUAGCUAGUUGGUAAGGUAACGGCUUACCAAGGCAACGAUCAGUAGGGGGCCUGAGAGGGUUAUCCCCCACACUGGAACUGAGACACGGUCCAGACUCCUACGGGAGGCAGCAGUGGGGAAUAUUGCACAAUGGGCGCAAGCCUGAUGCAACCAUGCCGCGUGUAUGAAGAAGGCCUUCGGGUUGUAAAGUACUUUCAGCGGGGAGGAAGGCGGUGAAGUUAAUAGCUUCACCGAUUGACGUUACCCGCAGAAGAAGCACCGGCUAACUCCGUGCCAGCCGCCGCAGUAAC
RNAcentral lists this ribosomal RNA (508 nucleotides) under uncultured bacterium. Its description in RNAcentral is "partial 16S ribosomal RNA". It matches the Rfam family "Bacterial small subunit ribosomal RNA", at positions 28 to 524 of the family's 1533-position model. The record is from RNAcentral.